CCUACGGGAGGCUGCAGUGAGGAAUAUUGGUCAAUGGGCGAGAGCCUGAACCAGCCAAGUCGCGUGAGGGAGUACUGCCCUAUGGGUUGUAAACCUCUUUUGUUGGGGAGCAAAAGCCGGACGUGUCCGGCUGUGAGAGUACCCGAAGAAAAAGCAUCGGCGAACUCCGUGCCAGCAGCCGCGGUAAUACGGAGGAUGCGAGCGUUAUCCGGAUUUAUUGGGUUUAAAGGGUGCGCAGGCGGAUUUUUAAGUCAGCGGUAAAAUCGUGGGGCUCAACCCCAUCCAGCCGUUGAAACUGGGGAUCUAGAGUGUGCGAGAGGUAUGCGGAAUGCGUGGUGUAGCGGUGAAAUGCAUAGAUAUAACGCAGAACCCCGAUUGCGAAGGCAGCAUACCGGUGCACAACUGACGCUCAGGCACGAAAGCGUGGGUAUCGAACAGGAUUAGAUACCCUUGUAGUC
Molecule: ribosomal RNA, 458 nt
Filed under: uncultured bacterium
Lineage: Bacteria
Description: partial 16S ribosomal RNA
Rfam family: Bacterial small subunit ribosomal RNA
Source: RNAcentral